Molecule: long non-coding RNA, 943 nt
Organism: Cyprinodon variegatus (sheepshead minnow)
Lineage: Eukaryota; Metazoa; Chordata; Actinopteri; Cyprinodontiformes; Cyprinodontidae
Exons: 2
Source: RefSeq, a predicted model, not a curated record
UAACCCUUCAUACUGUUGGCUUAAUCUCAUAUCUCUUAUUCUUUUCUUCAGAUUGUGCAGCUGCAGGUUGUCAAAGAUCAGCUGUGGUUAUCUGAGCUCAGCUCUGAAGUUCAAUCCCUCCCAUCUGACAGAACUGGACCUACGAGGAAAUAACCUGAAUAAGGCCGAUGUUCAGCCGCUGGAGGAUCUUGUAAAACGUCCAGACUACAAACUGGAUACUCAGGGUGGAUGUUAAAAGUGGUUAUAGUUGCUCUCAGCAGCAAGGUAGUGGUGGUGGGUGACUCUCUAGAGACAAGAAGAUGUAAGCUGUCCUGAUGAUUCACAGGAGUUGAAGCUGCAGCAGCUAAAAUUAAUGGAGACUCUGACUGGAUCAUGAUUUUAGGGAACUUUUUCCUAUUUCUUUAUGUCUGUAAACUGGUUGGUGAUAUUGUAGCUAAAAUAAAAAUCUAAUAAAAGAGUUCCGGUUAUGGCCGUGAGCUAGAAGGUUAAGUUCGAAACUGCUCUCUACAACAAUCCUGAAAAAUCCCUUGAUUAGACUUCAAAACGCCCUAACAGUUAUAUUUCAACUUGAUUCGGAUACAACAAUGCCUGGCCCUGGAAAAACCAGCAAGGAUAAGGCAAAAACAGCCACGCAAUCUAAAUGAACUGACUUUGGACCGCAAAACGUGGAGCUAAGUGCUAAGGAGGCUAGCAAAGAUGUUAGCGUUGAGCGGAGCGCUAGCAAAGAGGCUAGCGCGGAGCUAGCGCAACGCAGCGGGGAUGACACGAACAGCCCACCUGGUGCCAAGGCGGAGAUAUUGGGGGCAAUAAACAACUUAAAGACAGAGUUCGGAGUAAGAUUUGAUGGCGUCAUGACUGCCAUAAAUGCUAUAUGAAAAGACGUGGGUGAAUGUGCCAAACGUCUGACACACGCAGAGGAGCGCUUAUCUACGGUGGAGGACGA